Molecule: ribosomal RNA, 485 nt
Filed under: uncultured bacterium
Lineage: Bacteria
Description: bacterial SSU rRNA
Rfam family: Bacterial small subunit ribosomal RNA
Source: RNAcentral
GAUGAACGCUAGCGGCAGGCUUAACACAUGCAAGUCGAGGGGUAUUGGUUUUCGGACCAAGAGACCGGCGCACGGGUGCGUAACGCGUAUGCAAUCUACCUUUUGCAGAGGGAUAGCCCCAGAGAAAUUUGGAUUAAUACCUCAUAGUAUAGUACUUUGGCAUCAAGGAACUAUUAAAGUCACAACGGCAAAAGAUGAGCAUGCGUCCCAUUAGCUAGUUGGUAAGGUAACGGCUUACCAAGACAAUGAUGGGUAGGGGUCCUGAGAGGGAGAUCCCCCACACUGGUACUGAGACACGGACCAGACUCCUACGGGAGGCAGCAGUGAGGAAUAUGGUCAAUGGGCGCAAGCCUGAACCAGCCAUGCCGCGUGCAGGAAGACGGUCCUAUGGAUUGUAAACUGCUUUUANACAGAAGAACCCUCCACGUGUGGGAGCUUGACGGUACUGUAGGAAUAAGGNUCGGCUAACNCCGUGCCAGCAGCCG